Molecule: long non-coding RNA, 2103 nt
Organism: Pogona vitticeps (central bearded dragon)
Lineage: Eukaryota; Metazoa; Chordata; Lepidosauria; Squamata; Agamidae
Source: Ensembl
AUGAGCAUAUCCUCUUUGCAACUGGAACAACUCUCCCCACCAAUUCCAGUGAAUCAUACACUCACAGCAGUGUGGAUUGCAUCCAAGCCCAAUGAAUAUCUUUUGAAAACAGUGGUUUAUUUUCGCUGUCAAGUACCAAAUACAGAAAAAACAAGGAUACAAGUGCUCCAGAGGAUCCCAAGCUUGGGCUGCUCUGCCAGUAAAUCCCAUGGAAUAGAAUAUAGAUUGAAAAUGGAAUGGGAGAAGCCAUUAAAACAAAAGAUAGAGGGCUAAAUUGAAGCAGUUUUUACUACCUCUCUCUUCUUCGCUUUUAUUUCUAUGUGUCUCAUUCACAUAAUGAGUGUAUUGACACUCAUUAUGCAAAUUAGAUGAUCUUGCCAGGAGGAUGUCUGCUCCUCCAUGAGUCAUUUAAACUAGGUUAUAUAUUCAUCAACAGAACCACUGGCCCUAAUAAUAGGAGUUGAAAUUUUCUCAGGAAAUGCUGAGGAACAAAAGCUCAUCUACUGACAGUUCAGGGCACUGUCCGGAAAGCAUCAUUUUAACUUGCCCAUGUCUAGAAAUUCAAAGAGGUUCUGAAGUCUAGUAGAACUUGAAGAUAACAGGAGCAAUGUAGUUUAAACAGUAGUCCAUGUGUUUAAAAGAGGAGAAGGGAAAAGACAAACAGUGCACAUUGGCAUGGUUUUGUCCAGGGGGCACGCUAGUCAUAUGCUAAUAAGAAAAAUUAAAAUAAUUGCAGUCGUUUUGAAACUGUAGACUUCAAGCUUGCAACGGCAAGAUUCAAAGAAAGGCCAGAUCUCAACCAGCGAGCCAGUCUCUUGCUGACUCUCAGUUUUGUGUUACAGCUAAAUCAGAUUCUUUUGGCUGAUCACUCACAUUCUCUAGCUAUUGGGAACUGCCUCUUUACGAAUAGAAUCAAAUAAGCCCUCUGGUUUGCUAGGGAGCUAGCUGCUGGUAGCGAAACUAGUGGGGAAUGGACACUUUAAUGAUGGUGGCCUAAAGCUUGAACCAAGACCAGAUGGACAUGCUAGAGCCCACUGCAAGGCUUACCCUGGGGCGGUGCUAGCACAUCAUUUUAUUCUGCCAGUCUCGCAUCUAAUCAGGGCGUAAUGGAGCUCUUUGGAGUCAUCAAGGGUCUUACUGCUCCCUGGCCUGUGGGAAGAGGGUGUAGACCACAUGAUAGCCCGUUCUGAACAAUUUGCCACAGUAAAAUCAUUUAAAAUCCAUUUCAGCAUGGAUGCAGUAAUUGAGACAGGCCCAGUGGAUGUAAUGAUGAUCCUUGCAUAUCCUGUGAUUAUGGAUACAUUUCAGCCAGUUCAGCAGAGGAUAUGAGUAGGAGCCUUUGAGCAGUGAAAGCCAUGAUGUUUUUCUGCUUGACACUUGCUCUUCGGAGUUCACAAGAGCGGCCAGGUUCAAGGCAACGUAGCCAGACUGCAGACUGACCCCACUUAUAGAGAACAUAUAAUUUCUUUCUCAUAGCAGCUUCACCAGCUCCCCUUCUGUUUCCAGGCACCAUUAAAAAAGUGCUUCUAGAGCUUGGGUCCAGCCUAUUUGAAAUAACCAUAUUCACCCAUGCAAGCCUGCUUGGACUUUGAGGUCAAUAGGAGAGGGACUUCUCUCAGCCCCACAGUUUUCCAAGGCUUGUUUGGUGAGAAUACAUGUGAUGGCUUUCCCAGUGGCUGCUCCAGAUUUUGGAACUCCCUGCCAAGCAAGGCUUCUCACUGUCCUUCUGCUGGUAGGCUAAGGCUCUUAUAUUUAGGCAGGCCUUUAGUGACUGAUGGCUUACUAAAGGCAAGUGGUCUGGGCGUGGCUGUGUUUCUCUCCAUUUAUUAGAUCUAUGGUUCACGUAUAUUAUGUAAUGGAAUGGUUCAUGCAUAUUAAUGUUGCUUAGAGGCGGAGCCGAGAGAGAUGUUAUAAGAGGCGGAGCCUGAGUCAGUCAGGAGAGAUUGAGUCCAUUAGAGAAAUGUAAGGGUCAGGCAGGAGAGAAAAGCCAGACAGAGUAAUAGAGUGUGUAGUUUGGGAAAUUUAGAUGUGAUUAGGUACUGAAGGUAUUUAUGAAUCUCUGUAAUCAAUAAACCAAAGUUUUAUUUAAAAGAACUUGAACUG